GACGGAGGUGCCGAGCGUUAGGCGGAAUCACUGGGCUUAAAGCGUGUGUAGGCGGGCCGUUAAGUAUCUUGUGAAAUCCCCCGGCUCAACCGGGGAAUGGCUGGAUAUACUGGCGGUCUUGAGCGAUCUAGGGGCAGAUGGAACAGACGGUGGAGCGGUGAAAUGCGUAGAUAUCGUCUGGAACGCCAAAGGUGAAGACAGUCUGCUGGGGAUCUGCUGACGCUGAGACACGAAAGCCAGGGGAGCGAACGGG
RNAcentral lists this ribosomal RNA (253 nucleotides) under uncultured bacterium. RNAcentral's name for it is "partial 16S ribosomal RNA". It matches the Rfam family "Bacterial small subunit ribosomal RNA", at positions 524 to 776 of the family's 1533-position model. The record is from RNAcentral.